This 293-nucleotide unclassified non-coding RNA is filed under the name Hevea brasiliensis (rubber tree). The record is from RNAcentral. Lineage: Eukaryota; Viridiplantae; Streptophyta; Magnoliopsida; Malpighiales; Euphorbiaceae.
CAAUGGAUCACAAGAAAUACCUUCAUCAAAUGCAAACAAUCCACUGCUUAUGAGCUCAAUUAAAGUAGUGUGACCAUGAUCGCUCAACCCUCACUCACCCCCGUAUGGAACUGCGAUCCAGAUCGCACGUUCCCAAAUUCGAGAUCCAAAACUCAAAUUGGCCGAACCCAGUUUUGAAGAACAUCCAGAGAAAAGGAAAACAAACACAAAGCAGCGAUUCAAGGCAAAAAAAAAUACAUUUCUGAUAAAAAAAAUUAUAUGGAAAUUUACCAGAUUUUGUUUGAAAUUUUGAG